RNAcentral lists this ribosomal RNA (446 nucleotides) under uncultured organism. RNAcentral describes it as "partial 16S ribosomal RNA". It matches the Rfam family "Bacterial small subunit ribosomal RNA", at positions 334 to 797 of the family's 1533-position model. The record is from RNAcentral.
CACUCCUGCGGGAGGCAGCAGUGGGGAAUAUUGGACAAUGGGCGCAAGCCUGAUCCAGCCAUGCCGCGUGAGUGAUGAAGGCCCUAGGGUUGUAAAGCUCUUUCACCGGUGAAGAUAAUGACGGUAACCGGAGAAGAAGCCCCGGCUAACUUCGUGCCAGCAGCCGCGGUAAUACGAAGGGGGCUAGCGUUGUUCGGAUUUACUGGGCGUAAAGCGCACGUAGGCGGACUAUUAAGUCAGGGGUGAAAUCCCGGGGCUCAACCCCGGAACUGCCUUUGAUACUGGUAGUCUUGAGUUCGAGAGAGGUGAGUGGAAUUCCGAGUGUAGAGGUGAAAUUCGUAGAUAUUCGGAGGAACACCAGUGGCGAAGGCGGCUCACUGGCUCGAUACAGACGCUGAGGUGCGAAAGCGUGGGGAGCAAACAGGAUUAGAAACCCGUGUAGUCCC